AUCUUGGCUCAGGGUGAACGCUGGCGGCGUGCAAAACACAUGCAAGUCGAACGGUGUAGCAGGAGCUUGCUCUUGUGGAUCAGUGGCGAACGGGUGAGUAACACGUGAGCAACCUGCCCCGGACUCUGGGAUAAGCGCUGGAAACGGCGUCUAAUACUGGAUACGAGUAGCGACCGCAUGGUCAGCUAUUGGAUUGAAUUUCGGUCUGGGAUGGGCUCGCGGCCUAUCAGCUUGUUGGUGAGGUAAUGGCUCACCAAGGCGUCGACGGGUAGCCGGCCUGAGAGGGUGACCGGCCACACUGGGACUGAGACACGGCCCAGACUCCUACGGGAGGCAGCAGUGGGGAAUAUUGCACAAUGGGCGCAAGCCUGAUGCAGCAACGCCGCGUGAGGGAUGACGGCCAACGGGUUGUAAACCUCUUUUAGUAGGGAAGAAGCGAAAGUGACCGUACCUGCAGAAAAAGCGCCGGCUAACUACGUGCCAGCAGCCGCGGUAAUACGUAGGGCGCAAGCGUUAUCCGGAAUUAUUGGGCGUAAAGAGCUCGUAGGCGGUUUGUCGCGUCUGCUGUGAAAUCUGGGGGCUCAACCUCAAGCCUGCAGUGGGUACGGGCAGACUAGGGUGCGGUAGGGGAGAUUGGAAUUCCUGGUGUAGCGGUGGAAUGCGCAGAUAUCAGGAGGAACACCGAUGGCGAAGGCAGAUCUCUGGGCCGUAACUGACGCUGAGGAGCGAAAGGGUGGGGAGCAAACAGGCUUAGAUACCCUGGUAGUCCACGGCGUAAACGUUGGGAACUAGUUGUGGGGUCCAUUUCACGGAUUCCGUGACGCAGCUAACGCAUUAAGUUCCCCGCCUGGGGAGUACGGCCGCAAGGCUAAAACUCAAAGGAAUUGACGGGGACCCGCACAAGCGGCGGAGCAUGCGGAUUAAUUCGAUGCAACGCGAAGAACCUUACCAAGGCUUGACAUAUACGAGAACGGGCCAGAAAUGGUCAACUCUUUGGACACUCGUAAACAGGUGGUGCAUGGUUGUCGUCAGCUCGUGUCGUGAGAUGAAGGGUUAAGUCCCGCAACGAGCGCAACCCUCGUUCUAUGUUGCCAGCA
RNAcentral lists this ribosomal RNA (1097 nucleotides) under Microbacterium sp. 44CL. Its description in RNAcentral is "bacterial SSU rRNA". It matches the Rfam family "Bacterial small subunit ribosomal RNA", at positions 16 to 1123 of the family's 1533-position model. The record is from RNAcentral. Lineage: Bacteria; Bacillati; Actinomycetota; Actinomycetes; Micrococcales; Microbacteriaceae.